UCUUACCUACGGGACGCAGCAGUGAGGAAUAUUGGUCAAUGGGCGGGAGCCUGAACCAGCCAAGUCGCGUGAGGGAAGACGGUCCUGCGGAUUGUAAACCUCUUUUGCCGGGGAGCAACGGGGUCCUUGCGAGGUCCCAAUGAGAGUACCCGGAGAAAAAGCAUCGGCUAACUCCGUGCCAGCAGCCGCGGUAAUACGGAGGAUGCGAGCGUUAUCCGGAUUUAUUGGGUUUAAAGGGAGCGGAGGCGGGCUGUUAAGUCAGCGGUCAAAUGUCGGGGCUCAACCCCGGCCUGCCGUUGAAACUG
Molecule: ribosomal RNA, 305 nt
Filed under: uncultured bacterium
Lineage: Bacteria
Description: bacterial SSU rRNA
Rfam family: Bacterial small subunit ribosomal RNA
Source: RNAcentral